UCCGGUUUGGCACCGGCAGUCUCUCUAGAGUCCCCGCCAUGACGCGCUGGCAACUAGGGGCGAGGGUUGCGCUCGUUGCGGGACUUAACCCAACAUCUCACGACACGAGCUGACGACAGCCAUGCAGCAUCUGUGGUGCACCCUCGAAGGUCACACGUUUCCGUGCGCUUGCAGCACCAUGUCAAGCCCAGGUAAGGUUCUUCGCGUUGCAUCGAAUUAAAGAACAUGCUCCGCUGCUUGUGCGGGCCCCCGUCAAUUCUUUUGAGUUUUAGCCUUGCGGCCGUGCUCCCCAGGCGGGGCGCUUAAUGCGUUUGCUGCGGCACGGAACUCGUGGAAUGAGUCCCACACCUAGCGCCCAGCGUUUACGGCGUGGACUAC
This 378-nucleotide unclassified non-coding RNA is filed under the name uncultured Actinomycetes bacterium. Its description in RNAcentral is "uncultured actinobacterium contains 16S-23S intergenic spacer region". The record is from RNAcentral. Lineage: Bacteria; Bacillati; Actinomycetota; Actinomycetes.